Molecule: ribosomal RNA, 450 nt
Filed under: uncultured bacterium
Lineage: Bacteria
Description: partial 16S ribosomal RNA
Rfam family: Bacterial small subunit ribosomal RNA
Source: RNAcentral
GUGGGGAAUUUUGGACAAUGGGCGAAAGCCUGAUCCAGCCAUGCCGCGUGUGUGAAGAAGGUCUUCGGAUUGUAAAGCACUUUAAGUUGGGAGGAAGGGCAGUAAGUUAAUACCUUGCUGUUUUGACGUUACCGACAGAAUAAGCACCGGCUAACUUCGUGCCAGCAGCCGCGGUAAUACGAAGGGUGCAAGCGUUAUUCGGAAUUACUGGGCGUAAAGCGCGCGUAGGUGGUUUUGUAAGUUGGAGGUGAAAUCCCCGGGCUCAACCUGGGAACUGCCUCCAAAACUGCAUGACUAGAGUACGGUAGAGGGUAGUGGAAUUUCCUGUGUAGCGGUGAAAUGCGUAGAUAUAGGAAGGAACACCAGUGGCGAAGGCGACCACCUGGACUGAUACUGACACUGAGGUGCGAAAGCGUGGGGAGCAAACAGGAUUAGAUACCCCGGUAGUCC